UUAACUUAAAUUUGUAUGGAAUUGGAAUUUUUGUCAACGUUUGCCUCCAGGGGCGCUGUUCCAACUGCAUACGAAUAUGAGCGA
This 84-nucleotide microRNA precursor is filed under the name Bombyx mori (domestic silkworm). Its description in RNAcentral is "mir-2807 microRNA precursor family". It matches the Rfam family "mir-2807 microRNA precursor family". The record is from Rfam by way of RNAcentral. Lineage: Eukaryota; Metazoa; Arthropoda; Insecta; Lepidoptera; Bombycidae.